AUCCACUCAGCUGUUCUAGCCAGGGUAUAGUUAGUAGAAAGGAACCUUCGUAUUUUUUCUCCAGUAAUGGGAAAUUCCAUACCUCUGAUUUUACACCACAGGCCAGCACCCCCUAUAGCAGUUCGACAUAACAAGAGGCCUAGGCUAGUGACUCAGGCUUUUCCUCAGGCUUUGGCAACAGGACAUAGUAGGAUUUGCUAGUAAUGUGGCAAUGAUCAUUGGGACCAAU
This 229-nucleotide long non-coding RNA is filed under the name Carica papaya (papaya). Its description in RNAcentral is "long non-coding RNA (CPAP_LNC007180)". Lineage: Eukaryota; Viridiplantae; Streptophyta; Magnoliopsida; Brassicales; Caricaceae. The record is from RNAcentral.